GACAGAGGGGGCAAGCGUUGCUCGGAAUCACUGGGCGUAAAGGGCGCGUAGGCGGCUACGCACGUCCGUUGUGAAAUCGCUCGGCUCAACUGGGCGGGGUCAGCGGAUACGGCGUAGCUGGAGCAAGCUAGGGGGCAAUGGAAUUCCCGGUGUAGUGGUGGAAUGCGUAGAUAUCGGGAGGAACACCAGUGGCGAAGGCGGUUGCCUGGAGCUUUGCUGACGCUGAUGCGCGAAAGCGUGGGGAGCGAUCCGG
Molecule: ribosomal RNA, 253 nt
Filed under: uncultured bacterium
Lineage: Bacteria
Description: partial 16S ribosomal RNA
Rfam family: Bacterial small subunit ribosomal RNA
Source: RNAcentral